AUAAUGAUACUUCUGUGAUGAGCAGCGGGGGCGUAUCAGUCACCCGGGGUGAGACUCCCAUGU
This 63-nucleotide non-coding RNA is filed under the name unclassified sequences. RNAcentral describes it as "pemK RNA". It matches the Rfam family "pemK RNA". The record is from RNAcentral.